Molecule: ribosomal RNA, 372 nt
Filed under: uncultured bacterium
Lineage: Bacteria
Description: bacterial SSU rRNA
Rfam family: Bacterial small subunit ribosomal RNA
Source: RNAcentral
AGAGUUUGAUCCUGGCUCAGAUUGAACGCUGGCGGCAUGCCUUACACAUGCAAGUCGAACGGUAACAGCACUUCGGUGGCUGACGAGUGGCGAACGGGUGAGUAAUACAUCGGAACGUGCCCGAGAGUGGGGGAUAACGCAGCGAAAGCUGUGCUAAUACCGCAUACGAUCUACGGAUGAAAGCAGGGGACCGCAAGGCCUUGCGCUCAUGGAGCGGCCGAUGGCAGAUUAGGUAGUUGGUGGGAUAAAAGCUUACCAAGCCGACGAUCUGUAGCUGGUCUGAGAGGACGACCAGCCACACUGGGACUGAGACACGGCCCAGACUCCUACGGGAGGCAGCAGUGGGGAAUUUUGGACAAUGGGCGAAAGCCU